This 207-nucleotide unclassified non-coding RNA is filed under the name uncultured fungus. Its description in RNAcentral is "sequence contains ITS1, 5.8S rRNA gene". The record is from RNAcentral. Lineage: Eukaryota; Fungi.
UUAUUUUAUUUCGAUAUUUCGUUACAUUCUUUGACUAGUGUUAUAAAGUGAGCCGCAGGGCAAGAAUUGAAAUAGGGGGUUUUAAAUCCGUUCUUUCAAAUCAAGUCCCGCCAAAUAGAUGCACAGAGUUAGAAAAUGGAGGUCAGGCUCUACAAGUAGACGCCCUAAAAUUCAUUAAUGAUCCUUCCGCAGGUUCACCUACGGAAA